Molecule: transfer RNA, 72 nt
Filed under: Lygodactylus heterurus
Lineage: Eukaryota; Metazoa; Chordata; Lepidosauria; Squamata; Gekkonidae
Description: tRNA-Asn
Source: RNAcentral
AGUUGAAGCCCGCUGGUUUGGGUGUUUAGUUGUUAACUAAACUCUUACGGGAUCGAGGCCCGUCAGCUUGGU